CGGUAAUACGGAGGGUGCAAGCGUUACUCGGAAUCACUGGGCGUAAAGCGCGCGCAGGCGGUCUUUUAAGUUGGAUGUGAAAGCCUAUGGCUCAACCAUAGAACUGCAUCCAAAACUAUUAGACUAGAGUCUGGGAGGGGAAGAUGGAAUUAGUUGUGUAGGGGUAAAAUCCGUAGAGAUAACUAGGAAUACCAAAAGCGAAGGCGAUCUUCUGGAACAGUACUGACGCUGAGGCGCGAAAGCGUGGGGAGCAAACAGGAUUAGAUACCCUGGUAGUCCACGCCCUAAACGAUGAAUGUUAGUCGUCGGAGGCCUAGUGUCUUCGGUGAUGCAGCUAACGCAUUAAACAUUCCGCCUGGGGAGUACGGUCGCAAGAUUAAAACUCAAAGGAAUAGACGGGGACCCGCACAAGUGGUGGAGCAUGUGGUUUAAUUCGAAGAUACGCGAAGAACCUUACCUAGCCUUGACAUAUUUUAGAACACUUUAGAGAUAGAGUGGUGCCUUCGGGAGCUAAUAUACAGGUGCUGCACGGCUGUCGUCAGCUCGUGUCGUGAGAUGUUGGGUUAAGUCCCGCAACGAGCGCAACCCUCGUCACUAGUUACUAACGGUUCGGCCGAGGACUCUAGUGAGACUGCCUUCGUAAGGAGGAGGAAGGUGAGGACGACGUCAAGUCAUCAUGGCCCUUACGGCUAGGGCAACACACGUGCUACAAUGGUUAGGACAAUGAGACGCGAUACCGCGAGGUGGAGCAAAUCUAUAAACCUAAUCUCAGUUCGGAUUGUAGUCUGCAACUCGACUACAUGAAGCUGGAAUUACUAGUAAUCGUAGAUCAGCUAUGCUACGGUGAAUACGUUCCCGGG
This 860-nucleotide ribosomal RNA is filed under the name uncultured bacterium. RNAcentral's name for it is "bacterial SSU rRNA". It matches the Rfam family "Bacterial small subunit ribosomal RNA", at positions 518 to 1378 of the family's 1533-position model. The record is from RNAcentral.